Molecule: non-coding RNA, 224 nt
Organism: Paramuricea clavata
Lineage: Eukaryota; Metazoa; Cnidaria; Anthozoa; Malacalcyonacea; Plexauridae
Source: the annotation of a GenBank genome assembly
CCUCGUAGCAGUUCAAGCAUGAAAUUUAUACGCCAAACGUAAAUUUCAAACGCUAAAUCUUAAUUUACUGCUUUGGUGAAUACGUGACGAGUGGUUAAUUUGUUUUCUUGAAUUAUUGUUAAAUACCACAAGUUUAAUAAUUGCUUAAUAUAUUUCAAAACUGGUGUAAAAGCUGUUAUAAUAGAGUUGUAAAAUCACAAACUUCGUUAGCGGUUUGACGUUUG